RNAcentral lists this ribosomal RNA (459 nucleotides) under uncultured bacterium. Its description in RNAcentral is "partial 16S ribosomal RNA". It matches the Rfam family "Bacterial small subunit ribosomal RNA", at positions 338 to 795 of the family's 1533-position model. The record is from RNAcentral.
CCUACGGGAGGCAGCAGUGAGGAAUAUUGGUCAAUGGGCGCGAGCCUGAACCAGCCAAGCCGCGUGAAGGAAGACUGUCCAGCGGGUCGUAAACCUCUUUUGUCAGGGAACAAAGGCAGGGACGAGUCCCCGGAUGGAGGUACCUGAAGAAAAAGCAUCGGCUAACUCCGUGCCAGCAGCCGCGGUAAUACGGAGGAUGCGAGCGUUAUCCGGAUUUAUUGGGUUUAAAGGGUGCGCAGUCGGCCUGUUAAGUCAGCGGUAAAAGCCCGGGGCUCAACCCAGGCGAGCCGUUGAAACUGGCGGGCUGGAGUGGGAGAGAAGUACGCGGAAUGCGGGGUGUAGCGGUGAAAUGCGUAGAUAUACGGAGGAACACCAGUGGCGAAGGCGGAGUGCUGGACAGUAACUGACGCUGAGGCGCGAAAGCGUGGGGAGCAAACAGGAUUAGAUACCCGAGUAGUC